This 463-nucleotide ribosomal RNA is filed under the name uncultured bacterium. RNAcentral describes it as "partial 16S ribosomal RNA". It matches the Rfam family "Bacterial small subunit ribosomal RNA", at positions 28 to 507 of the family's 1533-position model. The record is from RNAcentral.
GACGAACGCUGGCGGCGUGCUUAACACAUGCAAGUCGAACGGUGAACCUCUUCGGAGGGGAUCCGUAGCGAACGGGUGAGUAACACGUUGGCAACCUGCUACCGUAUCUGGGAUACCUCCAAGACAUUGGGACUAAUACCCGAUGUCCACCGCUUCCCGCAUGCGUCGUGGUGCAAAGGGUUUGCGGCAGCGGACAGGCACGCGGCGUAUGAGCUUGUUGGCGAGGUAGGGGCAGACGAAGGAGACGACGGGUAGCCGGCCUGAGAGGGUGACCGGGGACACUGGGCCUGAGAGACGGCGCAGACUCCUAUGGUCGGCCGCAGUGGGGAACCUUGCGCCAUGAGCGGGAGUGUGACGCAGCGACGCCGCGUGCGUGAUGACGGCCUUCGAGUGAUAAACCUAUUUGUGCAGAAACGUAGAGCAAGUGACGGUACCUGCAGAGAAAGCAACGGCUAACUACGUG